GACGAACGCUGGCGGCGUGCUUAACACAUGCAAGUCGAACGUGAUUUUUGUGGAAAUUCUUUCGGGAAUGGAAAUGAAAUGAAAGUGGCGAACGGGUGAGUAACACGUGAGCAACCUACCUUACACAGGGGGAUAGCCGUUGGAAACGACGAUUAAUACCGCAUGAGACCACAGAAUCGCAUGAUAUAGGGGUCAAAGAUUUAUCGGUGUAAGAAGGGCUCGCGUCUGAUUAGCUAGUUGGAAGGGUAAAGGCCUACCAAGGCGACGAUCAGUAGCCGGUCUGAGAGGAUGAACGGCCACAUUGGAACUGAGACACGGUCCAAACUCCUACGGGAGGCAGCAGUGGGGAAUAUUGCACAAUGGGGGGAACCCUGAUGCAGCGACGCCGCGUGAGCGAAGAAGGUUUUCGAAUCGUAAAGCUCUGUCCUAUGAGAAGAUAAUGACGGUAUCAUAGGAGGAAGC
This 462-nucleotide ribosomal RNA is filed under the name Parvimonas micra. Its description in RNAcentral is "bacterial SSU rRNA". It matches the Rfam family "Bacterial small subunit ribosomal RNA", at positions 28 to 491 of the family's 1533-position model. Lineage: Bacteria; Bacillati; Bacillota; Tissierellia; Tissierellales; Peptoniphilaceae. The record is from RNAcentral.